This 782-nucleotide long non-coding RNA is filed under the name Homo sapiens (human). The record is from RNAcentral. Lineage: Eukaryota; Metazoa; Chordata; Mammalia; Primates; Hominidae.
AAACAAUGAUAAAACAAAAAGCAGAGCUGAGAAAGCCAACAAGAGGUGGAGCUGAAAAUAUGUGCUGAGAGCCAAAUAUAAAAACUGUGUCAUUUGGAGGAGUCAUUAUGCAGGAUCCAUGGGUAUGAAGCUUGCUAUUAAUAGGGCUGAACCAGUUCAUACAAGCAGAAAGAACAUAAUCAAAGGCAUAGGGGUAAAAAUUAGAUGGAGUUUUCUGUCCCUUUAUCUCAUAAGCAUUUACUUUGUUGGGUUGUUUCUGGACAUACUUCUAGCAUCUUUAUAUCCAUACAUUAUAUUGCACAGGGAACCAAGAACUUAACAAGAAGUGGGGUAAAAAAGAACAGAAAGAUGUGAAUGGCAUUAUAUGAGGAGCUUGAACACAAGGAAUGCAACUAUGCACAAAUGUAAUUUUCUGAUGGAAGAAAGAUUCCAAGAACCCGUGGAUUUCAAGUAUAUAUUAUAAGAAUGCCUUUGACGAAAAAAAAAAGAAAGAAAGAAAGAAAGAAAAGAAAAUCAAAACAGGUCACACUGUUUGGGAGAUGUCACUCUGUCAACUGUGCUAGAGUACAGUGGUGCAAUCUCAGCUCACUUAAGCCACAACCUCCUGGCCUCAAGUGAUCCUCCUGCCUCAGCCUCCCUAGUAGCUGGGACUACAGGAGCAUGCCACCACACCUGACUGGACUGAUUCCCACCAUGGAAAAGUCCUCUAAGAAGUGAGCAUGACUUCAGGCUCCACUCAGGAGGGAGAGUGGAACCUCCUUGACCACAUCAUUACAGAGGCG